CAGAGUGCCAGCUUGGGGAGCCUGCUGGUUUUAUUUCCUGGUAAUGAGGCCUUUCAUUUGUUUUUGAGUCUUCAUUUUGGGCAUGCCUUUUGUAUUUUUCUAAUUUUGUACACAUUUAUGUUUCGUCACCAUCUGAACAAAUAAUAAUCUGCUUUAACUGGCCGACCAAGAGGUCAAGAGAGAGCUGAUCUUGGACCAAGAGAACAUCAGAUACGGGGGAGGAGAGCGAUACAUGGGGAGAGAUGGAGAGGGGAAAAUAAAAGCACUUUGCAGUGGAGCACCAAUCAACUCCAUCUAUUGGCAGUCCCAGUGGACCACAAACCUGAUGCCUUAUCAAAGGAAUUGAUAGAAAGAACAUGGCACAAACACAACUGAAUCAUAGAGGUUGGUGACGCAAACCCAGACCUCUCUCUCUCCCUCAUCUUGUUUCUGGCCCAUGGUAGUGAGGUAUUCUGGGCUCAGGGACAUGAGUCACCAUCCAGAGGAUGCUGCAUGACGUAGCGAACAACCUCUCUUCAAGCACGACAGCAAUUGGUCUAAUUGGAGUGAUGGUCACACUAUGAUCAGACUCUGGAAGGUUGUCCUGUACAACACUGGUAACAGACAAAUCAUCUAAUCCUCCAACAAUGUACUAGGCCAUCUGGCUCAGACAAUCAACUAAUAUUGGCAUAGCUGGACCUGGAAGUCUUCACCAGUCCAACCACCAUCUCCUGACCCUGCUGUUUGUUUUGAGCGACGCAGAGGGUGAUUUGGGCCAGGACAGAGUACAGUCUGCGGUGUACCUAACAAGCUGGAUAGGAAGCCUAUGGGACUGCCUGUCUUUUUGCAGACCAGUAUUGGCUGCAAAUGAUGAGUGUGUAAAGCUUGGGCUACGUUUUGUGUGUGUGUGUGUGUGAAUGUACAAGGUUGAGCACACAUUGGUGAAUAAGAAAGCCAAACACCAAGAUUGAGGCAGGCCUGGCUAACAAGCUGUGCUGUGCUAAGAGGCUCAGAACAAAACUCUUGUUGUUGGCUGUCCAGAUGGAUCCUGGUGGAUGGACAAUGGAUGAUGCCUGAUAGGACAGCUAGGUCUGAGUACAGCCAAGACCCCCCCCCCCC
RNAcentral lists this long non-coding RNA (1098 nucleotides) under Salmo salar (Atlantic salmon). RNAcentral describes it as "lncRNA (ENSSSAG00000090938.1)". The record is from RNAcentral. Lineage: Eukaryota; Metazoa; Chordata; Actinopteri; Salmoniformes; Salmonidae.